GAGAGGGACGAGAGAUGAGCAAUACAACUUGCCACUAGAUAGAAAGAAAGAUCAUGAACAAGAAUAAGCAAAAGGGACAAUAAGAGGAAGCUUAAUAGACCCAUUUAUUGUCCUAUGUAGACAAGACAAGUAAAUUGGUUAAAUGUUGGUACAGAAUCUUGUCAUGUCGAGCUUAUAUAUGUGAACAAGUAGGGGGAUGUUUGUUUUGAGCAUGAAAGAGAGUUUGAAGCAAUAUAUGACUCAUAGUUUAUGUAGUGAGAAGGAGAUUGAGACGAAAAGUUUUCCAUUGGCCGGUUGCCUACCUACAUCUGACAAUUCUCAUGUCAGCUAGAAUUACAUAAAAAAGAAUGAUACUUUCAAAAUAAGUUUUUUAAAAAAGAAUGAUUAUCAUGUCCGUGAAGAUCUAAUGCAUGCUAAGGCAGAUAAAAAGUUCUUCUUUAGUAGACAUUCUUACUGUUCCUCUACACCUUAACAAUGCAUUAGUAAGAAAAGCUUAAAGUAUGCUUAUUAUCUCUCUAUCUGCAAAAAAUUUCAAACCUGCAAUCUUUCCAAUCAGAGCCUGACAAACCAAAGCCUAAAUUAUGUUUAUCAUAUUCUGUUGCUAACACUUAUAAGUCAUAGUUUAUUAACACAGAUCUUAGUUUCCUGAACUUUUGAAUAGCCAAUCACUUUUUUAUAUUUCCUUUGAACUUAGUUUACCUAUUGAACUGUAAGAGGUAGUACAGAAGUUAUGCUAGCAUUGACUAAUGACAAUAUUUUUGUGUCAACUCAUAUAUAACUCUAACUAAUACCUGCAUGAUUGACACAUAGUUAGUGGCCAUGGUAGAGUUCUGAAUAACACUGUUCUUUUAGUGUUAGACUUUGAUACUGAUGCAAAUUUCUUUUAUUGAUUUCAGGUACGAGUUUACUGUUUUUAAUGAGUUAGUUGCUGGAAGAACAGUCUGGACAGAUGGUGAAGCUCCUGCUUUUGACGAGAGCCUAAAAGUUUGGAUCUUUUUGACAAAAAAUGUUGAAUUUAAGUGAGAGUUUUAAAUCGUGUACAUAGCACACUUCUCCUUGCUGCAGUUAUGCUUGUUUCUCAUUAAUAUUUCAAUGUGGUUGUUCCUAGAAGUGUUUAUGUUUACACUCGGUUCUCCUUAUAUGUUUUUCUCUAUCUAUUGUGUUCUGCUGUACACUUUUUAUUAUGGAUUCAUGAUUUAUUUGCUAAAUGGUG
Asparagus officinalis (garden asparagus) is the source of this 1213-nucleotide RNA transcript. RefSeq lists it as uncharacterized. NCBI's taxonomy places the organism in Eukaryota, Viridiplantae, Streptophyta, Magnoliopsida, Asparagales, Asparagaceae. The transcript is spliced from 2 exons. The record is from RefSeq and is a predicted model, not a curated record.